Molecule: RNA transcript, 1224 nt
Organism: Nymphaea colorata (pocket water lily)
Lineage: Eukaryota; Viridiplantae; Streptophyta; Magnoliopsida; Nymphaeales; Nymphaeaceae
Gene name: 50S ribosomal protein L12, chloroplastic-like
Exons: 3
Source: RefSeq, a predicted model, not a curated record
UCGGCCGUCGAGCGUCGACCUCCCCAAUCCCCGCUCUCUCUCUCUCUCUCUCUUCUAUUUUCCCUCUCCCCUCCUUAUCCAAAACCCAUCUGCAACUCCGGCAUUUCUCAGAGAGAGAGAGAGAGAGAGAAAGUGAGAGAGAGGGAGGUAGAGUUGAAGGAACAGAGCAAAGGAAAAGCUAAAAGCAGAAAAUGGCGGUUUCGCUCUCCACCAAUUCCUUCCUUUCCGUCUCCCCUAGCUCCUCCAUCACUUCCCGCUUUCGAGCCUCUCCCGGGAAGCUCACUUUCGGGACGAGCAUCACUAGACACCCUGGCUACGGGAGGCGGAGCUCCGUCCUUCUUCGGCCUGUCUGCGCUGUCGCCGUCUCGCCCAAGAUUGAAAAAUUGGGCCAAGAGAUCAAGCUCCUGACCCUCGAGGAGGCCCGGUCGCUCUCUGACUACCUCCAGGAGGAGCUUGGCGUCUCUCCAGCCGCAUUCGCGCCCGCUGCUGUCGGGGUGGCGCCUGGUGCUGCCGCGGAGGCAGCGGCGCCUGUGGUCGAGGAGAAAACUGAGUUUGAUGUGGUGAUUGAGGAUGUGCCAAGCAACGCAAGAAUUGCGACCAUCAAGGUGGUGAGGGCUAUCACCAACCUCGCGCUGAAGGAGGCCAAGGAGCUCAUCGAGGGCCUGCCGAAGAAGUUCAGGGAAGGCAUCUCGAAGGAGGAGGCAGAGGAUGCGAAGAAGAAGCUCGAGGAGGUGGGAGCAAAGGUCUCUAUCGUCUAGAGCGGACAGUUCUCUUGCAGAAGGAAGAAUCAUGUGUGAAUUAAAAGCAGGUAAAUGCUUGUGGAGUUCAAAAGAUAAUGCUAUUGUGGGUGAACCAAGUUGCUCCAGAAGUUGUUGGAUUCCUCUUUGUUUCAGGAAUGAGCUCUGUGUUCGUUGUGUUAAUUUCUAGUUCUUCAACAUUCUCAUCAGGGGACAAAAUACCAUGUGGAAGAUUUUCGUUGUAUUUGUCGCAUAAGCCUACAGAAUGACCCAACUUGUGGACCGAGGAAUACGCUUUGAGCCUUUGACAGAGCAGUAAGUAGUGGUGGUAGUUUGUUAUAUACAAAUAAAGCAGUUGUUUCUGGUCAAACAACGAGGAUGACUUUAACAUGCAUUCAUGAAUUUACUGCUUUUACAUGUAUGUCCAUCAGAUGUACUAUUUUAAUAUCUGAUAGAAAUCCCCCGGUCAGAGAUGCCUUUUUUUUUC